Molecule: ribosomal RNA, 1189 nt
Filed under: Lactobacillus delbrueckii
Lineage: Bacteria; Bacillati; Bacillota; Bacilli; Lactobacillales; Lactobacillaceae
Description: bacterial SSU rRNA
Rfam family: Bacterial small subunit ribosomal RNA
Source: RNAcentral
AUGCAGUCGAGCGAGCUGAAUUCAAAGAUCCCUUCGGGGUGAUUUGUUGGACGCUAGCGGCGGAUGGGUGAGUAACACGUGGGCAAUCUGCCCUAAAGACUGGGAUACCACUUGGAAACAGGUGCUAAUACCGGAUAACAACAUGAAUCGCAUGAUUCAAGUUUGAAAGGCGGCGCAAGCUGUCACUUUAGGAUGAGCCCGCGGCGCAUUAGCUAGUUGGUGGGGUAAAGGCCUACCAAGGCAAUGAUGCGUAGCCGAGUUGAGAGACUGAUCGGCCACAUUGGGACUGAGACACGGCCCAAACUCCUACGGGAGGCAGCAGUAGGGAAUCUUCCACAAUGGACGCAAGUCUGAUGGAGCAACGCCGCGUGAGUGAAGAAGGUUUUCGGAUCGUAAAGCUCUGUUGUUGGUGAAGAAGGAUAGAGGCAGUAACUGGUCUUUAUUUGACGGUAAUCAACCAGAAAGUCACGGCUAACUACGUGCCAGCAGCCGCGGUAAUACGUAGGUGGCAAGCGUUGUCCGGAUUUAUUGGGCGUAAAGCGAGCGCAGGCGGAAUGAUAAGUCUGAUGUGAAAGCCCACGGCUCAACCGUGGAACUGCAUCGGAAACUGUCAUUCUUGAGUGCAGAAGAGGAGAGUGGAACUCCAUGUGUAGCGGUGGAAUGCGUAGAUAUAUGGAAGAACACCAGUGGCGAAGGCGGCUCUCUGGUCUGCAACUGACGCUGAGGCUCGAAAGCAUGGGUAGCGAACAGGAUUAGAUACCCUGGUAGUCCAUGCCGUAAACGAUGAGCGCUAGGUGUUGGGGACUUUCCGGUCCUCAGUGCCGCAGCAAACGCAUUAAGCGCUCCGCCUGGGGAGUACGACCGCAAGGUUGAAACUCAAAGGAAUUGACGGGGGCCCGCACAAGCGGUGGAGCAUGUGGUUUAAUUCGAAGCAACGCGAAGAACCUUACCAGGUCUUGACAUCCUGCGCUACACCUAGAGAUAGGUGGUUCCCUUCGGGGACGCAGAAACAGGUGGUGCAUGGCUGUCGUCAGCUCGUGUCGUGAGAUGUUGGGUUAAGUCCCGCAACGAGCGCAACCCUUGUCUUUAGUUGCCAUCAUUAAGUUGGGCACUCUAGAGAGACUGCCGGUGACAAACCGGAGGAAGGUGGGGAUGACGUCAAGUCAUCAUGCCCCUUAUGACCUGGGCU